UUAAUCGGAUUUACUGGGCGUAAAGCGCGCGUAGGCGGCCAAUUAAGUCAAAUGUGAAAUUCCAGGGCUUAACCUUGGGGCUGCAUUUGAUACGUGUAGACUAGAGUGUGAGAGAGGGUUGUGGAAUUCCCAGUGUAGAGGUGAAAUUCGUAGAUAUUGGGAAGAACACCGGUGGCGAAGGCGGCAACCUGGCUCAUUACUGACGCUGAGGCGCGAAAGCGUGGGGAGCAAACAGGAUUAGAUACCCUUGUA
RNAcentral lists this ribosomal RNA (252 nucleotides) under uncultured Asaia sp. RNAcentral describes it as "partial 16S ribosomal RNA". It matches the Rfam family "Bacterial small subunit ribosomal RNA", at positions 541 to 792 of the family's 1533-position model. The record is from RNAcentral. Lineage: Bacteria; Pseudomonadati; Pseudomonadota; Alphaproteobacteria; Acetobacterales; Acetobacteraceae.